This 499-nucleotide ribosomal RNA is filed under the name uncultured bacterium. RNAcentral describes it as "partial 16S ribosomal RNA". It matches the Rfam family "Bacterial small subunit ribosomal RNA", at positions 28 to 507 of the family's 1533-position model. The record is from RNAcentral.
GACGAACGCUGGCGGCGUGCUUAACACAUGCAAGUCGAACGGGCCCGCCCCUGUUUUUGGGGGUGGGUUGAGUGGCGAACGGGUGAGUAUCACGUGAGUAACCUGCCCCCUGCUCCUGGAUAACUGCUUGAAAGGGCGGCUAAUACGGGGUGUGCCGGCUGGUCCGCAUGGGCCUGGUCGGGAUAGUUUCAUCUUCGGGUGUUUCGGUGGGGGAUGGGCUCGCGGCCUAUCAGCUUGUUGGUGGGGGGAUGGCCCACCAAGGCGGUGACGGGUAGCCGGCCUGAGAGGGUGGGCGGCCACACUGGGACUGAGGCACGGCCCAGACUCCUGCGGGAGGCAGCAGUGGGGGGUAUUGCACAAUGGGCGGAAGCCUGAUGCAGCGACGUCGCGUGAGGGAUGGAGGCCUUCGGGUUGUGAACCUCUUUCUCCGGUGGUGAAGGCCCUGUCCGUUGCGGCGGGGUUGACGGUAGCCGGGUAUGAAGCGCCGGCUAACUACGUG